Molecule: signal recognition particle RNA, 117 nt
Filed under: Pan troglodytes (chimpanzee)
Lineage: Eukaryota; Metazoa; Chordata; Mammalia; Primates; Hominidae
Description: Metazoan signal recognition particle RNA
Rfam family: Metazoan signal recognition particle RNA
About the family: The signal recognition particle (SRP) is a universally conserved ribonucleoprotein.
Source: Rfam by way of RNAcentral
GCCGGGCAUGGUGGCUCACGCCUGUAAUCCAAGCACUUUGGGAGGCUGAGGUGGGUGGAUCACCUGAGGUCAGGAGUUCUAGACCAGCCUGGCCAACAUGGUGAAACCCCGUCUCUA